RNAcentral lists this signal recognition particle RNA (265 nucleotides) under SAR202 cluster bacterium Casp-Chloro-G3. RNAcentral's name for it is "signal recognition particle sRNA large type". It matches the Rfam family "Bacterial large signal recognition particle RNA". Rfam says of the family: The signal recognition particle (SRP) is a universally conserved ribonucleoprotein involved in the co-translational targeting of proteins to membranes. Archaeal SRP consists of a 7S RNA and homologues of the eukaryotic SRP19 and SRP54 proteins. In most bacteria, the SRP consists of a 4.5S RNA and the Ffh protein (a homologue of the eukaryotic SRP54 protein). RNAcentral also lists the same sequence under 1 other name. Lineage: Bacteria; Bacillati; Chloroflexota; Dehalococcoidia. The record is from RNAcentral.
UCGUGCUAGAUGGGGAGCCAGCGGUGCCUUGUACCCGCAAUCCGCUAUAGCGGGGUUGAAUUCCUCUUUUGAGGCCAGGCUGAUGGGCCGCUGUUCAGGGUUGGCGGUGUUGAAGGUUGGGUCCCACGCGGCGUAGUCUUGUGAACCCCGCCAGGUCCGGAAGGAAGCAACGGUAAGCGAGAAACUGCGGGUGCCGUGGGAGUGCCUGGCCCGAGUCGUUUUCCCCUAUAUGCCUAUUUGGUCUGUGUCGAUGGGGGGUGCACGG